This 629-nucleotide ribosomal RNA is filed under the name uncultured fungus. RNAcentral describes it as "eukaryotic LSU rRNA". It matches the Rfam family "Eukaryotic large subunit ribosomal RNA", at positions 24 to 664 of the family's 3401-position model. Lineage: Eukaryota; Fungi. The record is from RNAcentral.
CCCGCUGAACUUAAGCAUAUCAAUAAGCGGAGGAAAAGAAACUAACAAGGAUUCCCUCAGUAACGGCGAGUGAAGCGGGAAGAGCUCAAAUUUAAAAUCUGGCGUAAAAGCCCGAAUUGUAGUCUAAAGAGGCGUUAUCGGACACGAGUUUGUUGUACAAGUUCCCUGGAAUGGGACAUCACAGAGGGUGAGAAUCCCGUCUGGACGAUGAACGAGUGGACAUAUGAGACGUUCUCAAAGAGUCGAGUUGUUUGGGAUUGCAGCUCAAAAUGGGAGGUAAAUUUCUUCUAAGGCUAAAUAAAGGCAAGAGACCGAUAGCGAACAAGUACCGUGAGGGAAAGAUGAAAAGCACUUUGGAAAGAGAGUUAAACAGUACGUGAAAUUGUUAAAAGGGAAACGAUUGAAGUCAGUCGCGUCUACUUGGACUCAGUCUUGCUUCGGCUUGAUGCAUUUCCUUGUGGACGGGCCAGUGUUCAUGUCGAUCGCUGGAGAAGGUACAGGGGAAUGUGGCUCCUUAGGGAGUGUUAUAGCCCAUGUUCAUAUACAGUGAUUGGUAUGGAGUGGUACAGCAUGCUUCGGCGGUGUUUGUACUGGCAUAAUGGCUUUAAACGACCCGUCUUGAAACACGG